GUGCCAGCAGCUGCGGUAAUACGUAGGGCGCAAGCGUUAUCCGGAAUUAUUGGGCGUAAAGAGCUCGUAGGCGGUUUGUCGCGUCUGCCGUGAAAGUCCGGGGCUUAACCCCGGAUCUGCGGUGGGUACGGGCAGACUUGAGUGAUGUAGGGGAGACUGGAAUUCCUGGUGUAGCGGUGAAAUGCGCAGAUAUCAGGAGGAACACCGAUGGCGAAGGCAGGUCUCUGGGCAUUAACUGACGCUGAGGAGCGAAAGCAUGGGAGCGAACAGGAUUAGAUACCCUGGUAGUCCAU
Molecule: ribosomal RNA, 293 nt
Filed under: uncultured Arthrobacter sp.
Lineage: Bacteria; Bacillati; Actinomycetota; Actinomycetes; Micrococcales; Micrococcaceae
Description: partial 16S ribosomal RNA
Rfam family: Bacterial small subunit ribosomal RNA
Source: RNAcentral